GACAUCAGGAGGUUAGUGCAAUGGCAUAAGCCAGCUUGACUGCGAGCGUGACGGCGCGAGCAGGUGCGAAAGCAGGUCAUAGUGAUCCGGUGGUUCUGAAUGGAAGGGCCAUCGCUCAACGGAUAAAAGGUACUCCGGGGAUAACAGGCUGAUACCGCCCAAGAGUUCAUAUCGACGGCGGUGUUUGGCACCUCGAUGUCGGCUCAUCACAUCCUGGGGCUGAAGUAGGUCCCAAGGGUAUGGCUGUUCGCCAUUUAAAGUGGUACGCGAGCUGGGUUUAGAACGUCGUGAGACAGUUCGGUCCCUAUCUGCCGUGGGCGCUGGAGAACUGAGGGGGGCUGCUCCUAGUACGAGAGGACCGGAGUGGACGCAUCACUGGUGUUCGGGUUGUCAUGCCAAUGGCACUGCCCGGUAGCUAAAUGCGGAAGAGAUAAGUGCUGAAAGCAUCUAAGCACGAAACUUGCCCCGAGAUGAGUUCUCCCUGAGACUUAGAGUCUCCUGAAGGAACGUUGAAGACGACGACGUUGAUAGGCCGGGUGUGUAAGCGCAGCGAUGCGUUGAGCUAACCGGUACUAAUGAACCGUGAGGCUUAACCUUACAACGCCGAAG
Molecule: ribosomal RNA, 609 nt
Filed under: Salmonella enterica
Lineage: Bacteria; Pseudomonadati; Pseudomonadota; Gammaproteobacteria; Enterobacterales; Enterobacteriaceae
Also listed under: 2 other names
Description: bacterial LSU rRNA
Rfam family: Bacterial large subunit ribosomal RNA
Source: RNAcentral